This 979-nucleotide long non-coding RNA is filed under the name Triticum aestivum (bread wheat). RNAcentral describes it as "long non-coding RNA (TAES_LNC016494)". Lineage: Eukaryota; Viridiplantae; Streptophyta; Magnoliopsida; Poales; Poaceae. The record is from RNAcentral.
ACCAACAGAUGAAAUAAAACUUACUCAAGACACAAGUGCCACUAGCAGGAAAUUAAGCAUUCGUCAAAGUACUAUAUAUCACAAACAUAAGGUAUCAACGUCGUGGCAUAUCGAUGUACUAGAGUAUGCCGGACGGUAUGAAUAUGGCAUCUUCGUUUUCUACAGCGUAUGCAACAACAUCACAUACGACAGGUCCUCAAUGUACAGAUUCGACUUCAAAAUGAAAAUACAAGGUUCCUGUCUGUGGCCUGGGCCGGCUCAGGCCUCACACCAAAUUCUGCACUGUCAGAUAAACCACCCCUUUCCUCUUCCAGCAGACUAGCAGUCCCCAGUAGCAGCCUCAAGCUCUGCAAAAUAACCAACUUGAGAGAUGCGUUUCAUCUCAUACUACCAUUGUCUCAAAUCAGCAUUUGACAGGAAGUUACCUCUUAUUCUUCUUCUCCUGCUUAGGGAGGAGAUCAGGCAUCUCCAGGAACAGGAGUGGCAUGGUCUCAUAGUUCUUCUUAGACUUGGCCAGAGCGGAUAAGGGAUGCUCUAAUGCUUCGAUCUGCAGGUGCAGUUCCUUGCGCCAGUGUUCCGCCUCGGGUGUAUUCUUCUUACCCUCCAGGUACAUGCCCAGCAGACUGCAUAUCCCAAACACGGUCAUUAUCCAAAAGAAUUCAUGCACAAUAGACCAACAAGUAUAACUGAACAGUAAAGCUACAUUAGAUCCUAAAUGCUCACAUUUUUCUUGACAGUGCCAUUUUUUGGUACCCAUCGGUCGAUGUCCUGAUUAAACCAGCAGCAUAGGCCCCCUGUGCUAGCAGAUCCUGGUGCAGUUCAUAGUCUUUAAGCUCCUGAAAGAAAGAAAAAAACUGGAGUGUAAUUAAUGCAGAAGCAGGAACAGGAACAGAACAAAGAAGAGGCCAAUAGUCCAAUACACACCCUGGGAUCAAUUCUUGGACUCCUGGACAGUGACUCAUCCAGUUCUGCCUCAAAC